Molecule: ribosomal RNA, 270 nt
Filed under: uncultured archaeon
Lineage: Archaea
Description: partial 16S ribosomal RNA
Rfam family: Archaeal small subunit ribosomal RNA
Source: RNAcentral
CAGCGGCCCUAGUGGUGAUCGUUAUUAUUGGGCCUAAAGCGUCCGUAGCCGGUUCGGUAAAUCUCUGGGUAAAUCGAUGGGCUUAACCCAUCGAAUUCUGGGGAGACUGCUGGACUUGGGACCGGGAGAGGUCGGAGGUACUCCAGGGGUAGGGGUGAAAUCCUGUAAUCCUUGGGGGACCACCGGUGGCGAAGGCGUCCGACCAGAACGGGUCCGACGGUAAGGGACGAAGCCCUGGGGCGCAAACCGGAUUAGAUACCCGCGUAGUCC